GACGGGGCCGCACAAGCGGUGGAGCAUGUGGUUAAUUCGACGCAACGCGAAGACCUUACCUGGGCUUGACAUCCCGAUCGUACCUGCUGGAAACAGCGGGGUCAGUUCGGCUGGAUCGGAGACAGGUGCUGCAUGGCUGUCGUCAGCUCGUGUCGUGAGAUGUUGGGUUAAGUCCCGCAACGAGCGCAACCCUUGUCCUUAGUUGCCAUCAUUUAGUUGGGCACUCUAAGAAGACUGCCGGUGUUAAACCGGAGGAAGGUGGGGGAUGACGUCAAGUCCUCAUGGCCCUUAUGUCCAGGGCUACACACGUGCUACAAUGGCCGGUACAAAGGGCAGCAAAGCCGCGAGGUGGAGCCAAUCCCAGAAAGCCGGUCUCAGUUCGGAUUGGAGUCUGCAACUCGACUCCAUGAAGUUGGAAUCGCUAGUAAUCGCGGAUCAGCAUGCCCGCGGUCGAAUACGUUCCGGGCCUU
RNAcentral lists this ribosomal RNA (470 nucleotides) under uncultured Desulfuromonas sp. RNAcentral describes it as "bacterial SSU rRNA". It matches the Rfam family "Bacterial small subunit ribosomal RNA", at positions 917 to 1381 of the family's 1533-position model. The record is from RNAcentral. Lineage: Bacteria; Pseudomonadati; Thermodesulfobacteriota; Desulfuromonadia; Desulfuromonadales; Desulfuromonadaceae.